Molecule: ribosomal RNA, 279 nt
Filed under: uncultured bacterium
Lineage: Bacteria
Description: partial 16S ribosomal RNA
Rfam family: Bacterial small subunit ribosomal RNA
Source: RNAcentral
UGCCAGCCGCCGCGGUAAUACGUAAGUCGCAAGCGUUAUCCGGAAUCAUUGGGCGUAAAGGGUGUGCAGGCUGGAAAGUGUGUCUGAUGUGAAAGCCCGGGGCUUAACCCCGGAAGUGCAUUGGAAACUGCUUUUCUUGAAUCUCGGAGAGGGUAGUGGAAUUCCUGGUGUAGAGGUGAAAUUCGUAGAUAUCAGGAGGAACACCGGUGGCGAAGGCGACUGCCUGGACCGAUAUUGACACUGAGGUGCGAAAGCGUGGGUAGCAAACAGGAUUAGAUA